This is a long non-coding RNA of Pygocentrus nattereri (red-bellied piranha), 516 nucleotides long. RefSeq lists it as uncharacterized. The record is from RefSeq and is a predicted model, not a curated record. The transcript has 3 exons. Lineage: Eukaryota; Metazoa; Chordata; Actinopteri; Characiformes; Serrasalmidae.
UUUCUCUUGGUUUCCAUAUGUGGGCUGGAGAAUGAGUGGUACAUUAUUCAACUAUCACGAAAUGACCACAGUGCACCAAACUGUUCUGUUUAAAAAAGCGAGUUUCCCCAUUCAUGUUUAGUGCCAGGGUGAGAGGUUAUGCCUGUACACGCCGGAGCAGCAGGCCUAAAACUCGAUUAGGUGAAAGUUUCUGUCAGCUGUGGAGUUAAUUCAUCACUUUGUUGAGGAGAAACUUCAUCUCGGACGUGAACAAAGGGUCUUUUGCACACAGGACAGAGUUUCUGUUCAGUGACUUGCCGGUGGUCAGGAUUUUCAGGCCACCAUAUCGAAUAUGGGCUGGACACGCUGAGUCAUGGGAAUGCAAGUCGAUUUGGACAGGCAGUCAGUCAUGCUGACCGUCCUCAAAACCAACACGAAAUCCAUGAUGGGUGGGACUGCUUGAGACUACUUGCUCACUUCUGUAAACUGGGAAUGCAUUUUACUUGUUGAAGAAGUAAAUGUGAUGUACCAGCAAAA